Non-coding RNA from Chiloscyllium plagiosum (whitespotted bambooshark), 367 nucleotides. The record is from RefSeq and is a predicted model, not a curated record. Lineage: Eukaryota; Metazoa; Chordata; Chondrichthyes; Orectolobiformes; Hemiscylliidae.
UCAGCAAUACUGUGUGCAGUGAUAUUACAGAGUCAAUUCCUCUUCCUGCUUCUCCUUUAUCCAGCGACACAUAUGCUGUUGGUGUUGAACACAUUUCAAUAAGUGUUCCAGUGCCUUCUGAAUGUGAACAGCCAGUUCCUUCUCUACUUCUACCUCUACCUCUGCAAUCUGAUGAUGCAGAUAAACCAACCACUGACAUAACAGGAUUACAAAAACACCUUGUGAGUGUUUCUUUGUCAAGUGAUUUUGAAGAACCAAUCGUUCCUGCUUUUUCAUCUGUACCACCUCCUCUUUCACCUGAAGGGCAUAACAAUCUACAGGUUGAUGUGACAGACUUCCAGGAACUUGUGAGAGAGGGGAAGCCUCG